Molecule: ribosomal RNA, 419 nt
Filed under: uncultured bacterium
Lineage: Bacteria
Description: bacterial SSU rRNA
Rfam family: Bacterial small subunit ribosomal RNA
Source: RNAcentral
AACGAACGCUGGCGGCGUGCCUAAUACAUGCAAGUCGAGCGAGAAAGUCUCUUCGGAGACGAGUAAAGCGGCGCACGGGUGAGUAACACGUGGGCAAUCUGCCCUUGAGUCUGGGAUAACCCGGGGAAACUCGGGCUAAUACCGGAUACGGCUGCGGGGUCUUCGGAUCCUGUGGAGAAAGAUGGCCUCUUCUUGAAAGCUAUCUCUCGAGGAUGAGCCCGCGUCCUAUAGCUAGUUGGUGGGGUAACGGCUCACCAAGGCAAAGAUGGGUAGCUGGUCUGAGAGGAUGACCAGCCACACUGGAACUGAGAUACGGUCCAGACUCCUACGGGAGGCAGCAGUGGGAAUAUUGGGCAAUGGAGGCAACUCUGACCCAGCCAUGCCGCGUGGGUGACGAAGGUCUUCGGAUUGUAAAGCCC